This is a small nucleolar RNA of Amphilophus citrinellus (Midas cichlid), 85 nucleotides long. The record is from Ensembl. Lineage: Eukaryota; Metazoa; Chordata; Actinopteri; Cichliformes; Cichlidae.
GUGCUGUAGAAGUGAUGAGCUCUUCAUGUCUCUUCUCUGACUAAAUCUCAAUGGAGAGAACUUUUUACAACUCUGAUCUCAGCAU